This 567-nucleotide ribosomal RNA is filed under the name uncultured bacterium. RNAcentral describes it as "bacterial SSU rRNA". It matches the Rfam family "Bacterial small subunit ribosomal RNA", at positions 338 to 916 of the family's 1533-position model. The record is from RNAcentral.
CCUACGGGAGGCAGCAGUGGGGAAUAUUGCACAAUGGGCGCAAGCCUGAUGCAGCAACGCCGCGUGAGGGACGACGGCCUUCGGGUUGUAAACCUCUUUUAGUAGGGAAGAAGCGAAAGUGACGGUACCUGCAGAAAAAGCACCGGCUAACUACGUGCCAGCAGCCGCGGUAAUACGUAGGGUGCAAGCGUUAUCCGGAAUUAUUGGGCGUAAAGAGCUCGUAGGCGGUUUGUCGCGUCUGCUGUGAAAACUGGAGGCUCAACCUCCAGCCUGCAGUGGGUACGGGCAGACUAGAGUGCGGUAGGGGAGAUUGGAAUUCCUGGUGUAGCGGUGGAAUGCGCAGAUAUCAGGAGGAACACCGAUGGCGAAGGCAGAUCUCUGGGCCGUAACUGACGCUGAGGAGCGAAAGCAUGGGGAGCGAACAGGAUUAGAUACCCUGGUAGUCCAUGCCGUAAACGUUGGGAACUAGAUGUAGGGACCAUUCCACGGUUUCUGUGUCGCAGCUAACGCAUUAAGUUCCCCGCCUGGGGAUACGGCCGCAAGGCUAAAACUCAAAGGAAUUGACGG